UCGAGAAUCUUCGGCAAUGGGCGCAAGCCUGACCGAGCGACGCCGCGUGCGGGAUGAAGGCCUUCGGGUUGUAAACCGCUGUCGUAGGGGAGGAAGGUCUGGUGUAUAGCCAGGCUUGACCGAUCCUAGGAGGAAGGGCCGGCUAAUCUCGUGCCAGCAGCCGCGGUAAUACGAGAGGCCCAAACGUUAUUCGGAAUUACUGGGCUUAAAGAGUUCGUAGGCGGCAUGACAAGUAGGGUGUGAAAGCCCUCGGCUCAACCGAGGAAUUGCGCUCUAAACUGUCGUGCUUGAGGAAUCUAGAGGUGAGCGGAACUGAUGGUGGAGCGGUGAAAUGCGUUGAUAUCAUCAGGAACACCGGAGGCGAAGGCGGCUCACUGGGGAUUUUCUGACGCUGAGGAACGAAAGCCAGGGGAGCGAACG
This 420-nucleotide ribosomal RNA is filed under the name uncultured Pirellula sp. RNAcentral describes it as "partial 16S ribosomal RNA". It matches the Rfam family "Bacterial small subunit ribosomal RNA", at positions 355 to 774 of the family's 1533-position model. Lineage: Bacteria; Pseudomonadati; Planctomycetota; Planctomycetia; Pirellulales; Pirellulaceae. The record is from RNAcentral.